RNAcentral lists this long non-coding RNA (656 nucleotides) under Amborella trichopoda. Its description in RNAcentral is "long non-coding RNA (ATRI_LNC000336)". The record is from RNAcentral. Lineage: Eukaryota; Viridiplantae; Streptophyta; Magnoliopsida; Amborellales; Amborellaceae.
UAAGAUUGCUGAAAGGGAUGUCAGACGGUUGGCAAACCUGCGUUCUCUCUCACUUGCACUAGGAGUACAAGCUCCAUACCAGCAUGUUCUCUCUCUCUCUCUCUCUCACUCACACACACACACACGGAAAGGCAUAAUUGAGUACACAUGCAUGUGGGUGUUCGUUAAUUUAUUUUUGUUGACAGAUAAGGGUGGGCUAUCGAAUUGCUGCCAUUGUAAAGCCGAGAAAGGUGCAGGGGAAAGAAUGUUUUGAAGUAGCUUGGGAAGGAGAUCCUUGCCUUAAAACCUCUGUAAUCCCAGCUGAUUUGGUGAAGAGGUAAAUCCUACUCUAUAACUUGAAUGUUUAAUCAAAUAACUGAAUUUGGAAGAAAUGAUCAAACCUUCGAUUCGGUUUAUGUACAAGAUAUCUUGGUUUAUUGACUCGAAUUAGUGACAUUAGACAGUGGUCAUUUGUAAGUUACCAAAUUACACUUUUGAAGCCAUGCCAGAUUAUCAAGCUAUGAAAAUGACCUCUCUCUCUCUCUCUCUCACACACACACACACACAACCGACGCCACGCAUGGGCACAUGCACACACUGGGGGAAAUAUGUAUAUCCAUGCGUGUUUUUUUUUGUCUUUGAGAUUAUUAACCAAAAACAACUGAUAUUUUUUGUCC